AAAGCAGAUAAAGCAGUAGCAUAAAUAGUUGAAUGGUUGUAUUAAAUAUUAACGAUAUUAAGCACAUUAUCAAGAAAAAGUCAGAGUGAAUAUCCUUAUUUAAUACCAGCUCCUGUGAAAUUUAUAUGCUCAUACAACUUCUGCAUAAAAGAGGCUCUAAAAAAGAAGCAACUUAAAGUUGUCACAAACCCGGGUCAGCUUCUCAGCUAGCAGUAUUAGAAGAGAAGUGCCAGAGAAACCUACUUAUGGAACUAGGAUGGUAUAACAACGUGCAAUUUGGUCCAAAGGACAAUUUUGGAUCUUUUUCCAGUUGUCUUCUAUAACCUCAUUGCACAUAAAAGAAGGAAGAGAAUAUACAACAGGGGAGGAAAAAGGAAUCUGUGCAAGACCGAAACCUUUUACUGAAGUAAAAAAGAAGCAGAAAAUAUGAAUAAAGAAAAUUGAGAAUAUGUGGCUAGAAGCAAGUAGAUUCAAAACCCUUAAAAAUGUAAUAAAUUCUAAACCCCAGAGUACAAUCCCGAAUCUUGAACAACCAAAAUAGAAGACUUGAGAAUUUGGCUUCUCAAAACCGUAGCAACUACCAAUGCAAGAUCCCCACUGCUAUCUUCAAUGGUCUCCAUAUUGUAUGAAUUCUUGGGAA
RNAcentral lists this long non-coding RNA (640 nucleotides) under Phoenix dactylifera (date palm). RNAcentral describes it as "long non-coding RNA (PDAC_LNC017408)". The record is from RNAcentral. Lineage: Eukaryota; Viridiplantae; Streptophyta; Magnoliopsida; Arecales; Arecaceae.